UACGUAGGGUGCGAGCGUUUGUCCGGAAUUAUUGGGCGUAAAGAGCUUGUAGGCGGUUUGUCGCGUCUGCCGUGAAAAUUCGAGGCUCAACCUCGAACUUGCGGUGGGUACGGGCAGACUAGAGUGUGGUAGGGGAGACUGGAAUUCCUGGUGUAGCGGUGAAAUGCGCAGAUAUCAGGAGGAACACCGAUGGCGAAGGCAGGUCUCUGGGCCACUACUGACGCUGAGAAGCGAAAGCAUGGGGAGCGAGCAGG
RNAcentral lists this ribosomal RNA (254 nucleotides) under uncultured bacterium. RNAcentral describes it as "partial 16S ribosomal RNA". It matches the Rfam family "Bacterial small subunit ribosomal RNA", at positions 524 to 776 of the family's 1533-position model. The record is from RNAcentral.